CCUACGGGUGGCUGCAGUGAGGAAUAUUGGUCAAUGGGCGUAAGCCUGAACCAGCCAAGUCGCGUGAGGGAUGAAGGUUCUAUGGAUCGUAAACCUCUUUUAUAAGGGAAUAAAGUGUGGGACGUGUCCUAUUUUGUAUGGACCUUAUGAAUCAGGAUCGGCUAACUCCGUGCCAGCAGCCGCGGUAAUACGGAGGAUCCGAGCGUUAUCCGGAUUUAUUGGGUUUAAAGGGUGCGUAGGCGGCCUUUUAAGUCAGCGGUGAAAGUCUGUGGCUCAACCAUAGAAUUGCCGUUGAAACUGGGGGGCUUGAGUAUGUGUGAGGCAGGCGGAAUGCGUGGUGUAGCGGUGAAAUGCGUAGAUAUCAGGCAGAACCCCGAUGGCGAAGGCAGCUUGCUAAGCCAUGACUGACGCUGAUGCACGAAAGCGUGGGGAUCAAACAGGAUUAGAUACCCCUGUAGUC
RNAcentral lists this ribosomal RNA (460 nucleotides) under uncultured bacterium. RNAcentral's name for it is "partial 16S ribosomal RNA". It matches the Rfam family "Bacterial small subunit ribosomal RNA", at positions 338 to 795 of the family's 1533-position model. The record is from RNAcentral.